Small nuclear RNA from Talpa occidentalis (Iberian mole), 107 nucleotides. The record is from RefSeq and is a predicted model, not a curated record. NCBI's taxonomy places the organism in Eukaryota, Metazoa, Chordata, Mammalia, Eulipotyphla, Talpidae.
GUCCUCUCUUUGGCAGCACGUAAACUAAAAUUGGAAUGAUACAGAGAAGACCAGCAUGCCCCCUGCACAAGGAUGACAUGUAAAUUUGUGAAGCUCCCCAUAUUUUU